UAAUACGUAGGUGGCAAGCGUUGUCCGGAUUUAUUGGGCGUAAAGGGCGCGCAGGCGGUUCGUUAAGUCCGAGGUGAAAUCUCCCGGCUCAACUGGGAGAGGUCUUCGGAUACUGGCGGACUGGAGGUGAGCAGAGGUGAGUGGAAUUCUCGGUGUAGUGGUGAAAUGCGUAGAUAUCGAGAGGAACACCAGUGGCGAAGGCGGCUCACUGGGCUCUACCUGACGCUGAGGCGCGAAAGCGUGGGGAGCGAACCGGAUUAGAUACCCGGGUAGUCCACGCUGUAAACGAUGGACACUAGGUGUGGGGGGUAUUGACCCCUUCCGUGCCGAAGCCAACGCAAUAAGUGUCCCGCCUGGGGAGUACGGCCGCAAGGCUA
RNAcentral lists this ribosomal RNA (377 nucleotides) under uncultured bacterium. RNAcentral describes it as "bacterial SSU rRNA". It matches the Rfam family "Bacterial small subunit ribosomal RNA", at positions 521 to 896 of the family's 1533-position model. The record is from RNAcentral.